Molecule: long non-coding RNA, 272 nt
Organism: Amphimedon queenslandica
Lineage: Eukaryota; Metazoa; Porifera; Demospongiae; Haplosclerida; Niphatidae
Exons: 2
Source: RefSeq, a predicted model, not a curated record
GGAGAAUACUGAGGCAAGGUACCGGAGGAUUCUUGAGAGAAACCCUGAUGCUCCCGAGAAAUUGAAACUGACUCUUAAAGCGGCACUUAAAGAAAAAGAUUAGACCAAUCUGGAAGUACACAACUCUAAAGACUAGAAGAUAAUUAUUAGACAUAAAAUAAUCAAUGUAGAUAUUAAUUAUAGUGAACUACACUGCACAAGUACUUACAUAUCUAUUUACUAUUUUGGUGAGGGCUCUUGGCCCAUUAUUGUUCAUUCAUUCAUAGGCGUAG